This 253-nucleotide ribosomal RNA is filed under the name uncultured bacterium. RNAcentral describes it as "partial 16S ribosomal RNA". It matches the Rfam family "Bacterial small subunit ribosomal RNA", at positions 524 to 776 of the family's 1533-position model. The record is from RNAcentral.
UACAGAGGGUGCGAGCGUUAAUCGGAAUUACUGGGCGUAAAGCGCACGUAGGUGGCGACGUAAGUCGGGUGUGAAAGCCCCGGGCUCAACCUGGGAAUUGCAUUCGAGACUGCAUUGCUGGAGUACGGAAGAGGAAGGCGGAAUUCCCGGUGUAGCGGUGAAAUGCGUAGAUAUCGGGAGGAACAUCUGUGGCGAAGGCGACUGCCUGGACCAGCACUGACACUGAGGCACGAAAGCGUGGGGAGCAAACAGG